RNAcentral lists this ribosomal RNA (258 nucleotides) under uncultured bacterium. RNAcentral describes it as "partial 16S ribosomal RNA". It matches the Rfam family "Bacterial small subunit ribosomal RNA", at positions 76 to 334 of the family's 1533-position model. The record is from RNAcentral.
CUUGCUAAGGCCGAUGGCGACCGGCGCACGGGUGAGUAACACGUAUCCAACCUGCCGAUAACUCGGGGAUAGCCUUUCGAAAGAAAGAUUAAUAUCCGAUAGUAUAUUAAAACCGCAUGGUUUUACUAUUAAAGAAUUUCGGUUAUCGAUGGGGAUGCGUUCCAUUAGUUUGUUGGCGGAGUAACGGCCCACCAAGACUACGAUGGAUAGGGGUUCUGAGAGGAAGGUCCCCCACAUUGGAACUGAGACACGGUCCAA